This 205-nucleotide long non-coding RNA is filed under the name Elaeis guineensis (African oil palm). Its description in RNAcentral is "long non-coding RNA (EGUI_LNC020465)". Lineage: Eukaryota; Viridiplantae; Streptophyta; Magnoliopsida; Arecales; Arecaceae. The record is from RNAcentral.
UUGGAAAACUCUAAUUGUAUCACUCGAUAAUUUAGCUCCUAAUGGUAUAAUGACUUUGAAAAUGGUGAAGGAUAGUAUGCUUACUGAGGAGAUCAAAAGAAGAGAACAAGGUGUGACUACAAAGUCAGAGGCAUUGAUUAUAAAAAGAUAGAGGAAGAGUAAAAUCAGAAAUUUAUAAAAUCCUAACAAUCAUGACAAGUCAAAA